UACGUAGGGUGCGAGCGUUAAUCGGAAUUACUGGGCGUAAAGCGUGCGCAGGCGGCGCGUUAAGACAGGUGUGAAAGCCCCGAGCUUAACUUGGGAAUUGCGCUUGUGACUGGCGAGCUGGAGUGUGGCAGAGGGAGGUGGAAUUCCACGUGUAGCAGUGAAAUGCGUAGAGAUGUGGAGGAACACCGAUGGCGAAGGCAGCCUCCUGGGCCAGCACUGACGCUGAGGAGCGAAAGCGUGGGGAGCGAACAGG
Molecule: ribosomal RNA, 253 nt
Filed under: uncultured bacterium
Lineage: Bacteria
Description: partial 16S ribosomal RNA
Rfam family: Bacterial small subunit ribosomal RNA
Source: RNAcentral